ACCUGACACAGCCUUUCUGUGCUGAGCAUCCAGAGCCUGGUCAAUUUCAUCAAACAAGUAAAAUGGAGCCGGGUCACAUUUCUGAAUGGCAAAAAUCAGAGCAAGGGCUACCAAGGAUUUCUGUCCACCUGAAAGCUGUUGCAUUUCUCUCAUUUCACCUUGUUUUCCUGUAAAUGACACCUAAAAAUAAACAUAUUAUGAGUUAAUAUCCUAAAGGGCAGAAUCACCACCAUCUUUCAAAAGUAACUUGCAUAUAAUGCACCAAUCAGAUUUGCAAAAGAUACUAUAAAUUCUAUUACGGUAAUGCUCUGAGGAAAAUGGAAUAUAAAGGUAUUUUACCCUAAUUCCAACUCCAGUAAACUGGUCAACUGAUGGGACACUGCUUUGUGAGCCAGAACCCCUCUCACUCUCACCACUCCCUUCUCCUUCAUCUUGAGACUGACUGCCCUCCACAUCUCCUUUCUUCAUCACCAAAGUAGCUUUGCCACCAGGUACUAACUUCUGGAAUACUUCACUGAAGUUCUUAGAUACCUGUUUGAAAGUUAACUGAAUAGCUUCAUAUUUCCGAAGUUCAAGUACAUUCAUCAGUUCCAUGAUCGAUUUGUAACCCCUAUCUAACUCUUCUUGACGCUUUAUUAACUUUUCUUUCUGCUCGGAGAAAUUUACAAACUGAUCCAAAGCCUUUUUGUUAACAUGGCUGUACUUCUUUAAUUCUGUGUUGCACUGCUCAAGUUUUCGAAACAACUAUAAAGAGAAAAUAUGUAUUCAUAUAAAUAAAUUUAUAUACUGAGCAAUUUGUAACAAGACUUCAAAUUUAAAACCAACCUGUUUGAGGCUCAGUGUCUGGUACUUUUCAAAUGCUUCCUGGGGAAGUGAUCCAAGUUCUCGAAUUUUCUUCAUACACUCUUCUUUCUUCUUCAAUAGCAUGCCUUGCCGAUUUGUCAUCUUUUCCAGUUCUUUAGUAUCAUGAUUUAUAGCAUCCAUAUGUUCUUUUUCCAUAUUUUUCCAGCGCUCCAUACUCUUCUGAAGCUCCUUAAUUCCAGCUUCUGUUUUAUCAAUGGAAUUGUCCAAAUCUAA
Molecule: long non-coding RNA, 1077 nt
Filed under: Pan troglodytes (chimpanzee)
Lineage: Eukaryota; Metazoa; Chordata; Mammalia; Primates; Hominidae
Description: long non-coding RNA NONPTRT002347
Source: RNAcentral